AACGAACGCUGGCGGCAUGCCUAACACAUGCAAGUCGAACGAGAUCUUCGGGUCUAGUGGCGCACGGGUGCGUAACGCGUGGGAACCUGCCCUUAGGUUCGGAAUAACUCCCCGAAAGGGGUGCUAAUACCGGAUAAUGUCUUCGGACCAAAGAUUUAUCGCCUUUGGAUGGGCCCGCGUUGGAUUAGCUAGUUGGUAGGGUAAAAGCCUACUAAGGCGACGAUCCAUAGCUGGUCUGAGAGGAUGAUCAGCCACACUGGGACUGAGACACGGCCCAGACUCCUACGGGAGGCAGCAGUGGGGAAUAUUGGACAAUGGGCGAAAGCCUGAUCCAGCAAUGCCGCGUGAGUGAUGAAGGCCUUAGGGUUGUAAAGCUCUUUUACCCGGGAUAAUAAUGACAGUACCGGGAGAAUAAGCUCCGGCUAACUCCGUG
This 433-nucleotide ribosomal RNA is filed under the name uncultured bacterium. Its description in RNAcentral is "partial 16S ribosomal RNA". It matches the Rfam family "Bacterial small subunit ribosomal RNA", at positions 29 to 507 of the family's 1533-position model. The record is from RNAcentral.